AACGAACGCUGGCGGCAUGCCUAACACAUGCAAGUCGAACGAGACCUUCGGGUCUUGUGGCGCUCGGGUGCGUACCGCCUGGGAACUUGCCCUUAGGUUAGGAAUAACUCACUGUAAGGGGUGCUAAUAACGGUUAAUGUCAUAGGACCAAAGAUGUCUUGCCUUUGGAUGGGCCCGCGUUGGAUUAGCCAGUGGGUAGUGUAAAAGCCUAUCAAGGCGAUGUUGCAUAGCUGGUCUGAGAAGAGGACUAGCCCCGCUUGGGCUGAGACACGGCCCAGACUGCUACGGGAGGCAGCAGUGGGUAAUAUUGGACGAUGGGGGAAGGCCUGGUCCAGCAGUGCCGCGGAAGUGAUGAAUGCGGUAGGGUUGUAAAGCUCUUUGACCCGAAGUGAUAAUGACAGUAACGGGAGAAUAAGCACCGGCUAACUCCGUG
This 433-nucleotide ribosomal RNA is filed under the name uncultured bacterium. RNAcentral's name for it is "partial 16S ribosomal RNA". It matches the Rfam family "Bacterial small subunit ribosomal RNA", at positions 29 to 507 of the family's 1533-position model. The record is from RNAcentral.